This 497-nucleotide ribosomal RNA is filed under the name uncultured bacterium. Its description in RNAcentral is "partial 16S ribosomal RNA". It matches the Rfam family "Bacterial small subunit ribosomal RNA", at positions 28 to 507 of the family's 1533-position model. The record is from RNAcentral.
GAUGAACGCUGGCGGCGUGCCUAAUACAUGCAAGUCGAGCGAACGGACGAGAAGCUUGCUUUUCUGAUGUUAGCGGCGGACGGGUGAGUAACACGUGGAUAACCUACCUAUAAGACUGGGAUAACUUCGGGAAACCGGAGCUAAUACCGGAUAAUAUUUUGAACCGCAUGGUUCAAAAGUGAAAGACGGUCUUGCUGUCACUUAUAGAUGGAUCCGCGCUGCAUUAGCUAGUUGGUAAGGUAACGGCUUACCAAGGCAACGAUGCAUAGCCGACCUGAGAGGGUGAUCGGCCACACUGGAACUGAGACACGGUCCAGACUCCUACGGGAGGCAGCAGUAGGGAAUCUUCCGCAAUGGGGGAAAGCCUGACGGAGCAACGCCGCGUGAGUGAUGAAGGUCUUCGGAUCGUAAAACUCUGUUAUUAGGGAAGAACAUAUGUGUAAGUAACUGUGCACAUCUUGACGGUACCUAAUCAGAAAGCCACGGCUAACUACGUG